RNAcentral lists this ribosomal RNA (1291 nucleotides) under Cronobacter sakazakii. Its description in RNAcentral is "bacterial LSU rRNA". It matches the Rfam family "Bacterial large subunit ribosomal RNA", at positions 1549 to 2822 of the family's 2925-position model. The record is from RNAcentral. Lineage: Bacteria; Pseudomonadati; Pseudomonadota; Gammaproteobacteria; Enterobacterales; Enterobacteriaceae.
GUUAAGGCUGAGGCGUGAUGACGAGGCACCACGGUGCUGAAGUGACAAAUGCCCUGCUUCCAGGAAAAGCCUCUAAGCAUCAGGUAACAUCAAAUCGUACCCCAAACCGACACAGGUGGUCAGGUAGAGAAUACCAAGGCGCUUGAGAGAACUCGGGUGAAGGAACUAGGCAAAAUGGUGCCGUAACUUCGGGAGAAGGCACGCUGACAUGUAGGUGAAGCCCCUGCGGGUGGAGCUGAAGUCAGUCGAAGAUACCAGCUGGCUGCAACUGUUUAUUAAAAACACAGCACUGUGCAAACACGAAAGUGGACGUAUACGGUGUGACGCCUGCCCGGUGCCGGAAGGUUAAUUGAUGGGGUUAUCGCAAGAGAAGCUCCUGAUCGAAGCCCCGGUAAACGGCGGCCGUAACUAUAACGGUCCUAAGGUAGCGAAAUUCCUUGUCGGGUAAGUUCCGACCUGCACGAAUGGCGUAAUGAUGGCCAGGCUGUCUCCACCCGAGACUCAGUGAAAUUGAACUCGCUGUGAAGAUGCAGUGUACCCGCGGCAAGACGGAAAGACCCCGUGAACCUUUACUACAGCUUGACACUGAACAUUGAGCCUUGAUGUGUAGGAUAGGUGGGAGGCUUUGAAGCGUGGACGCCAGUCUGCGUGGAGCCGACCUUGAAAUACCACCCUUUAAUGUUUGAUGUUCUAACCUGGCGCCGUGAUCCGGCGUGGGGACAGUGUCUGGUGGGUAGUUUGACUGGGGCGGUCUCCUCCCAAAGUGUAACGGAGGAGCACGAAGGUCAGCUAAUCCUGGUCGGACAUCAGGAGGUUAGUGCAAUGGCAUAAGCUGGCUUGACUGCGAGAGUGACGGCUCGAGCAGGUGCGAAAGCAGGUCAUAGUGAUCCGGUGGUUCUGUAUGGAAGGGCCAUCGCUCAACGGAUAAAAGGUACUCCGGGGAUAACAGGCUGAUACCGCCCAAGAGUUCAUAUCGACGGCGGUGUUUGGCACCUCGAUGUCGGCUCAUCACAUCCUGGGGCUGAAGUAGGUCCCAAGGGUAUGGCUGUUCGCCAUUUAAAGUGGUACGCGAGCUGGGUUUAGAACGUCGUGAGACAGUUCGGUCCCUAUCUGCCGUGGGCGCUGGAGAAUUGAGGGGGGCUGCUCCCAGUACGAGAGGACCGGAGUGGACGCAUCACUGGUGUUCGGGUUGUCAUGCCAAUGGCACUGCCCGGUAGCUAAAUGCGGAAGAGAUAAGUGCUGAAAGCAUCUAAGCACGAAACUUGCCCCGAGAUGAGUUCUCCCUGAGACU